AGAAACAUGCCUCUGCUAAGUAUGGAAAUCUUAUUCGUACAAGCCAUAUACAGCAACAGGGAUCGAAAAUCCCCUUUCCACCUAAAGAAAUGGUUAUCGCGGAAAAAUGGAUCAAUAUUGGGUCCUGAACCGUUUGGAAACUGAGAAACGGACAAUCAAUGUCCUUCGUUUCGCUUCCUUUAUGUGGCAGAGAGAGUGGUGCUCCUUCAGCGCCAAUUUGUUUAUUAAAUUAGGAAUAUAAGUAUAGAAGAGGAAGGACAGUAACAAAACUGCACCAUUGAGCAGACUUUAUAUUAAGAAUAAGGGAAGUCGUAGAUGGAUGCCAACUAAUCACGUGUUAUUGUUCACGUGCUUAGCUAAUUCUGAGAGACGCUCCAGAAAGCAUUAUUGUUAAGGAUUGUUCACUAAUAAAACUUAAAAAUAUAAAAAGUUAAUAACGUAUUUCUUGAAGUAAACUAUUGUUACCGUAAAAUAAAAGCUAGUGAAACAACUCUAAGGAAGUGCGAAAAUUUACGGAAGGAAUCGGAAAGCUAAUUAA
Pieris brassicae (large cabbage white) is the source of this 538-nucleotide long non-coding RNA. RefSeq lists it as uncharacterized. The transcript is spliced from 3 exons. NCBI's taxonomy places the organism in Eukaryota, Metazoa, Arthropoda, Insecta, Lepidoptera, Pieridae. The record is from RefSeq and is a predicted model, not a curated record.